UUAAAGCCAGUUCUUCGGAACUGUUCCUUGCACAUAAAGGUUAAAAUAAAUUUAAUGCAAUUAAAAUCUCGACUAUUGUCAUGUAAUGUAGGUAAGGAAACAUGAAGAGAGGAAGACCCCCGCUAAAUAGAGUAGCUUAGGAGGGAUCACUUCGAGAGGACGUUGAUCGACUCUUCGAAAUGCUUGAGAGACUGAUUUCUGCCCAGCAGGUUAGGGAGGAGAGGAGAGAGUUACCUGAUCCCCUUCCACCCCUACCAUAGUAUGAGCCACCUCCACAUCAAGAGGAUCCAUUACCUCCAUGGUAUAACCCAAUUCCUCCACAGUACCAUCCAACACCCCCGCAAUAUAAUCUAAUGCCUCCAUCGUACAACCCGGGGUCGCCCCAAAACCACUUGGUCCUCCCCAGCAUUAUCCAGUUCCCCUCCAGCAGGACCCAGCUCUGCCUACGAUGGACCCAGAUUACAUCGAAAGGUACAAAAAACUUAACCCAUCUAUUUUUACAGAAGCAUCCACUUCUGAGGAUGUUGAGUACAGUUUGGCAGAAGGCCUUCGCAACACUUGAGGUGAUUCCCGAAUAGAAGGUUGUCCUUGUCACGUAUAUGCUCGUGAGGCAGAGUGUUGGUGGCAAAUCGAGCAAGUUACUCUGCCCACUCCGAUUACCUUGGAACAGUUUUUAGCAGCCUUCAAUGCUGAGUACCUUUCGGAACAUCUCCGACAUUUAAAAGAAAUAGAGUUUGCGCAAUUGGUCUAAGGUGAUACAUAAACAGAUGCAAACAUAUUCAUAAACAUAAAAUACAUACAUUAUACGUAUAACUACAUGCAUAUCCACACAUAUGAAUGCAUAUGUAGAAAACAUGUAAAUAUAUGUACUUAUAUAUAUGUGCAUACGUGUGUAAAUGUAUUAUAUAUAGGUUUUUAAUUCAAACUUACUAGUUUCCUCACCCUUUAGUACCUUCUCUACUAAUAAUAAUUACUCCAAACUACAGCCAUUUGUAAAAUACUACAUAGAAAUAAUCCACAGAAUACCACACAUUAACUUUGAGGAACUCACAUUAACAAAAUACUAUACAGGAAUGGCUAGAGAAAAACCGAGAAGCAAGAUUACCCCUCACUGAACUAACUAAUCCUGCCACCUGUAUAAACUUUUCAGUUUUUCUAAUGGAAUUACUACUUCUACUUGCAAUCACAAAAUUCUCCACCUAAUUUCACCAACAUUCACUUUAAAACUCCUAGUAAAUGUUAUUUUAAACACAUUGUCUAUUUAUAACAACAAUUUAGUUAGCGAACACUCCAUAAUAGUUAUAAUUUGUCAAAUAGAGAGACUGCAAUUGAAGUACUAACAACUUACGCAUAAGAUAUUGCAGGUGAACAUAGAGAAAACCUGACGAAGAUGGAGCAUCGACUGAGGAGGCUCUGACUUGGAGAACAGGCAGAGAAAUUCGAGCCGAUGAAUGGAAGCAGAGAGGGCAUGGGAGAGUGAAGAUAGCGUUGAGGAAGAGGACAGAGGGAGGAGGGAGGUGAGGAGAGAGAGCUGACAUGAUGACUCGGUGAGUCGAAAUGGGCCCGAUUCCUAUCUGGGAAGUCACAGCCACUUGUUUCAGACCAUAUAUUGUAAUAAGCGCAAAACAAGCAAAUAAUGCAGUUGAGGCAUUUUUGUUGUUGAGUUUUUUAAUGAGCUACACGCGCUUCAGGUGUACCUUUUAGUCUAUUGAGUAUUUGUAGCAACUCACUCUCUUCUAAUUUGAUUAUAAUCUUUUAUAAUUAUAUAAAAUAAU
This 1775-nucleotide long non-coding RNA is filed under the name Carica papaya (papaya). Its description in RNAcentral is "long non-coding RNA (CPAP_LNC014608)". The record is from RNAcentral. Lineage: Eukaryota; Viridiplantae; Streptophyta; Magnoliopsida; Brassicales; Caricaceae.